GGGCGCAUAGCUCAGUUGGUCAGAGCGUCUCGUUUACACCGAGAAGGUCAGGGGUUCGAGUCCCUUUGCGCCCA
RNAcentral lists this transfer RNA (74 nucleotides) under Pseudomonadota bacterium. Its description in RNAcentral is "tRNA-Val". It matches the Rfam family "tRNA". Rfam says of the family: Transfer RNA (tRNA) molecules are approximately 80 nucleotides in length. Their secondary structure includes four short double-helical elements and three loops (D, anti-codon, and T loops). Further hydrogen bonds mediate the characteristic L-shaped molecular structure. tRNAs have two regions of fundamental functional importance: the anti-codon, which is responsible for specific mRNA codon recognition, and the 3' end, to which the tRNAs corresponding amino acid is attached (by aminoacyl-tRNA synthetases). tRNAs cope with the degeneracy of the genetic code in two manners: having more than one tRNA (with a specific anti-codon) for a particular amino acid; and 'wobble' base-pairing, i.e. permitting non-standard base-pairing at the 3rd anti-codon position. The record is from RNAcentral. RNAcentral also lists the same sequence under 1 other name. Lineage: Bacteria; Pseudomonadati; Pseudomonadota.